CCCGUCUGUUUACUUCCACCUCACAUUAUAACCUAAUCGCAGUUUAUGAAAAAAGCGUAAGUUCGCUAUCGCAAUCACGCUCAGUUUCCGACUCCUCAAAACGUAUAAAAGUGAAGAGUCUGGUGGAGAAAUUCUUUAAAAUAUUUGAGAGCAGAAUGGCCGUGUCUAAGUUUUGGGGCUUUUUUAUUGCUUGUGUUUUUCUUUCGUUGGUGGUCGCCUGCUAUUCAGACGAUGUCGAUGACACUGAUGCUGGGGCAUCCAUGAGAGAAACACGGCGAGUUGGUGAAAAUACUGUCCGAGUUCUUCUGUCAGCCAGGGACGAUUCAAUGUACAACACAAACAGAGUCCGCCAGAAAAGACCGUGUGGUUUCUGGAGGCGGAUCAGGGGAAGAUGUUAAAAGUUUACAUCUAUGAUGUACAUAGAAGAGCUGGGGCGGAUCAUUCAUAUAAGACUUCUUGUCACGAAGUUUUCCUCAUUAUGACUAAUCAACACCAGAUUCCUUUUCAUCUUUCAUGUGGAAAAAAAAACCCCGAAUACAAAUUAAAUUCUAUUGUGUUGGUAAUUUGCAACAAUCGUGAAGACACCCAAGAUAAGGAAUGCAGAGAACACCUGUGAUUUGAUAAAACUAAAAAAUAAAAAUAUUGUCAUAGCGUACACAUGAGUGUAAAAUGUAUGCCAAGAAUACUGCAAUAUACAGAAAUUUUGAACUGAAGCAGAACUAGACCAGUUCAUUUGUGAUUUACUAUAUACUCCCUGUGGAUAUAGUUUAUACGACUGUAUGAAAGGGGAUCAAAUUCUCAAAUCUAGAUGUUAAUGCAAAAAUAUAUUCAUUUAUUCAUUUUCCUGAACUCUUUAUCCAAAAAGACUUACAAACAUCUUUGAAUUGAUCUAUACAUUUGAUUAUUGUUUAUUUAGUAUAUAUUUUUUAAAAUGUAUAUUAGAUGCGCGAUUUUGCAAUACUUAAUAAACACAUGUACUUCGAAUUAGUGCCGUUCUAAGACAUUGCUGAUAAAACAAUGUAAAAUUUUUAAAAUUAUUUUUCUGUGUAUAGUCAAUGUCACCUUAAAAAUAAAUUAUAAAAUCAAAAUGUAUCUUUUCUUUCAAGAAUACCAAAGGUUGUUCAUAUUUACCGACCGUGAUAUGUAUUUUUCGUUCAAAUGAAUGGACUGAGAAAUGAUGAAAUAACCAUAUAUGUGGACAUUCCAUGUUUACAUUUUACAGAAUUUUACAAAUAUAAGCAUAAGUGCAACUGUGACCAGCUGAUAAGCUUAUGUUAUUUUUGCCUGCACUAGUUACCUAUAGAGUGUAGUAAGCAGCGACUGCGAAGCGGGAAUUUACAUGGGCUGGUCAGAAAUUUGCACUUUGCCACGAGGGCAACAAGAUCUGCCAGUGCGUGUCCGGAGAGAGGUUCUCCACAGCGGGCUAAGAAUGAUGGCUUAUGCCAGGCAAGCAGGACUUUAUGGAACCAACAUCAGGCGCAGUCGCAGACGGCAUUGUCCUAGUUGGAUAAAGAGAAUUCUUAGAAGAUGUUGACUGGAUAUUAAAACAACACCGAGUUAGUUGUAUCUUAUCAAUUUAGACGAAGAGAAAAUGCCAGGAACGCAUUUAAAAACUGAUAUAAAUGUCCUUGAACAUUUUUGGUCUUGAUUUCAGUAAUUUGUUGGUUUAAACUUAAAUACGCCUUUUAUACUUUUCUACAUGUAAUCACCGCACAUAUGUUUUUAUUAUUUAUUUUAAACAAACAUUAAUUGAUGCUUGAAGUAUGCUUUACAUAAAUAAAUAAA
Molecule: long non-coding RNA, 1785 nt
Organism: Saccostrea cuccullata (small rock oyster)
Lineage: Eukaryota; Metazoa; Mollusca; Bivalvia; Ostreida; Ostreidae
Exons: 3
Source: RefSeq, a predicted model, not a curated record